UAGAGAAUUGCCACCAUGACUCUGUCAAACAUACAAGCGCAGACAUCAGGGCCUCACGGCCCCGUGCAUGUGUGGGAGGAUAGAAAUAUCCCCCUCGUUUGUAAUGAUCCUUCCGCAGGUUCACCUACGGAAA
Molecule: unclassified non-coding RNA, 133 nt
Filed under: uncultured fungus
Lineage: Eukaryota; Fungi
Description: sequence contains ITS1
Source: RNAcentral